CCUACGGGUGGCAGCAGUGGGGGAUAUUGCACAAUGGGGGAAACCCUGAUGCAGCGACGCCGCGUGAGUGAAGAAGUAUUUCGGUAUGUAAAGCUCUAUCAGCAGGGAAGAAAAUGACAGUACCUGACCAAGAAGCCCCGGCUAACUACGUGCCAGCAGCCGCGGUAAUACGUAGGGGGCAAGCGGUAUCCGGAUUUAUGGGUGGUAAAGGGGGCGUAGACGGUUAAGUAAGUCUGGAGGGAAAGCCCGGGGCCAUACCCCGGGUAUGCUUUGGAAAGUGUGUAACUGGAGUACAGGAGGGGAGGGCGGAAUUCCUGGUGUAGCGGUGAAAUGCGAAGAUAUCAGGAGGAACACCGGCGGCGAAGGCGGCCUGCUGGACUGAAACUGACGUUGAGGCUCGAAAGCGUGGGGAGCAAACAGGAUUAGAUACCCCUGUAGUC
RNAcentral lists this ribosomal RNA (440 nucleotides) under uncultured bacterium. Its description in RNAcentral is "partial 16S ribosomal RNA". It matches the Rfam family "Bacterial small subunit ribosomal RNA", at positions 338 to 795 of the family's 1533-position model. The record is from RNAcentral.